Molecule: long non-coding RNA, 418 nt
Organism: Parus major (Great Tit)
Lineage: Eukaryota; Metazoa; Chordata; Aves; Passeriformes; Paridae
Exons: 2
Source: RefSeq, a predicted model, not a curated record
UUCUGAAGAUCUGAGGAGUCAGUAGAAGAAAUAUGAACACUUGGAAUCCAGCUUUUUCUGAAACAGGUCUUGACCUCAGUGACUAGAAACUGAUGAACAACUCACUGCUUUCCUUGAGAACCUUGGGGUCUCAGAGGGUCUCGGUCUGGGCUGCAACCUUCUCCAUCACUUGGGUCUGUACAAAAUACAAGGUUGUCUAUCACGUUCCCUCUAAGUUGCACUGGAAGUGGAAAUCAUUCCUACUCAUUGUUACAAUAGUUCAGUGGAUAAAGCAUUGACCGGGGAGACCUGUAUUCAGCUAUUUCCUCUGGCUCAGGAAAUUCAAGCUUAUAUCUUCAAUCUCCAGAAAAAAUCACCACUAUAACUGCAGGUUAUAAUGAUAAAGAAUAAAGGAAUUUUCUGCCUCUUCCAUUGAAAA